CCCUUCGAUGUUCUGGGCUGCACGCGUGCUACACUGAUAUUGCCAAUAUGUCAUUCUUAUCCGAAAUGGAUUGGGUAAUCAAGUAAUGAAAUUUCAUGCUUGGAAUCGGUAAUUGCAAUUUUAUCGUGAACGAGGAAUUCCUAGUAAGCACUAGUCAUCAGCUAAUGUUGAUUAUGUCCCUGCCCUUUGUACACACCGCCCGUCGCUACUACUGAUUGGGUGUUCAAGUGAGAUGCUUAGACCCUUGUUGCAUGGUUCAUUAUUGUGCUCCGAAAGGAAAAAGUUUCAAGCUUGAGUGUCUAGAGGAAGUAAAAGUCGUAACA
This 323-nucleotide ribosomal RNA is filed under the name uncultured eukaryote. RNAcentral's name for it is "partial 18S ribosomal RNA". It matches the Rfam family "Eukaryotic small subunit ribosomal RNA", at positions 1470 to 1796 of the family's 1831-position model. The record is from RNAcentral.